This 1962-nucleotide long non-coding RNA is filed under the name Bemisia tabaci. RNAcentral's name for it is "lncRNA ENSSSA3NGG008219". The record is from RNAcentral. Lineage: Eukaryota; Metazoa; Arthropoda; Insecta; Hemiptera; Aleyrodidae.
UUCGGGAAAUUGAAAAAUUUUCGGAAAAUUACCCUCCUCCGAUCCGCCGCGGAGCGAUGCGAAUCUUUUACACUAUCGAAGAUCGGAAAACUGUACAGACCGAAUUUUGAUACGACUUUUUGUUUUCGAGAUUCCGGACUUGUAAAAUUUUUUUCGAUAGACCGUAUCUUACAGUAUGGGCCUGGUAUUGGAGACUGGAGAGUAGGGUCUGGUGCUAGUAAAACCCACGCGUUUCGUAAAACCCACGGGUUUAGUAAAACCCACGGGUUCAGUAAAACCCACGCGUUUAGUAGAACCCACGGGUUCAGUAAAACCCACGCGUUUAGUAAAACCCACGGGUUUAGUAAAACCCACACGUUUCGUAAAACCCACGGGUUCAGUAAAACCCACGGGUUUAGUAAAACCCACGCGUUUCGUAAAACCCACACGUUUAGUAAUACCCACGCGUUUAGUAAAACCCACGGGUUUAGUAAAACCCACGGGUUCAGUAAAACCCACGCGUUUAGUAAAACCCACGGUUCAGUAAAACCCACGCGUUUAGUAAAACCCACGGGUUCAGUAAAACCCACGCGUUUAGUAAAACCCACGGGUUCAGUAAAACCACGGGUUCAGUAAAACCCACGCGUUUCGUAAAACCCACGCGUUUCGUAAAACCCACGAGUUCAGUAAAACCCACGGGUUCAGUAAAACCCACGCGUUUAGUAAAACCCACGCGUUCAGAAAACGUGAUGUGUAUCGGAACCUUAUGUUUGGGACGGGCAACUGGGAUUGGAUAUUGCAAUGUUCAGUUUGAUGAAUCAAAAAUUUUUUUUUUUUUUUUUUUUAUGGAAAUAUACUGCUACAGUUUAAAAAAAAAAAACGUCCGCAUUUUUUUUUAUACAAAAUCCUUACUGUCGAUCCAACUAUUGUGACUCGCGUCAAGACCCAACCAUUUGACAAAGACCUGGUUUUUCUUGCGACGCAGAAUUUUCUCCACCAGGAACGUAUCCUUAUAGUUGGUCGGUUGGAGUUCUUCGCGGUAGAAUUUUCCUUUGAUGAUCGUAUCGUGCGCGUCUUUCAGAUCGUACGUGAUCGGAACGGUCGGAUUGACGCUGACAAUCUUGAAAAUUUCCGUGCUCCAGUUAGGUGUGUAUCCUUUCUCGAACAUGGCUUUGAGUCUCGAGAUCCGGACGUGAUCACCGACUUUCAGUUUUCGUCUGGCCAGACGUCUCUUCUCGGUUUUACUCAGCGGCGGCCCGCGAAGCUUUUGCAGGAUCAUCGGUACAUCCUUUUCGGUGACAUCAAUUGGUUUCAUCCCGAUGGUGCGAUGAACGCUCCCGUUAUAUUCACGGAUGAGUUUCGAUAAUAGAUCUACCCACUUGUACGAUCCUUGCGCGCUGAACUCUUUCCACAUCUUCGUUUUUAACGUUCGGUUGAAUCGCUCGACAAUAGAGGCUUUGGUUGUCGAGUACGAGCUGUACAUAUUGAUCUUGUGACGCUUCAUCAAAGCUUGACAUUUGGAGUUGUAGAAUUCCGAGCCCAUAUCGACUUGUAAAUGUUUCGGUGACUUUCCGGCUGCUGUGAGAACGCGUUGCAGAGCAAAAGUGACAUCCGUGGCCGUUUUCGAUUUGAGCGGUUCGGCCCACGCCUUUUUCGAGCACGCGUCGAUGACGGUGAGGAGAUAUCUGUAUCCUUUGUUGACCGAGGCGUACGGUUGCAUCUCGACGAGAUCGGCUUGCCAUAAAUCGAACAAUCCGAGAAUGCGUACUUUACGACGCGGAUAGUUUCGUCGUGCAGGUUUAUGUAGCUCCUCGACGAUCCCACGUUUCUCUGCCGACAUGAUAAUUACCGUCGACGUCGUCGUCGUCGUCCACUCUCUCGAUUCAAAUGCUGUUUCGAUGCUACUAUUUUAACCAGACGAUUGUAAGAUUGCUGAAGUUGGUGGAUACGGUCCAGACAGUGUUCAGCUAAUUUCAUGGCUUC